This 429-nucleotide ribosomal RNA is filed under the name Bacillota bacterium. RNAcentral describes it as "Firmicutes bacterium partial 16S ribosomal RNA". It matches the Rfam family "Bacterial small subunit ribosomal RNA", at positions 355 to 776 of the family's 1533-position model. Lineage: Bacteria; Bacillati; Bacillota. The record is from RNAcentral.
UGGGGAAUCUUGCGCAAUGCGCGAAAGCGUGACGCAGCAACGCCGCGUGGGGGAAGAAGGCCUUCGGGUUGUAAACCCCUUUCAGUUGGGACGAAGCCUCGUCGGUAAACAGCCGGCUGGGGUGACGGUACCUUCAGAAGAAGCCCCGGCUAACUACGUGCCAGCAGCCGCGGUAAUACGUAGGGGGCUAGCGUUGUCCGGAAUCAUUGGGCGUAAAGCGCGUGUAGGCGGCUCGGUAAGUCCGCUGUGAAAGUCGGGGGCUCAACCCUCGAAUGCCGGUGGAUACUGUCGGGCUCGAGUGCGGAAGAGGCGAGUGGAAUUCCUGGUGUAGCGGUGAAAUGCGCAGAUAUCAGGAGGAACACCAAUUGCGAAGGCAGCUCGCUGGGACGUUACUGACGCUGAGACGCGAAAGCGUGGGGAGCAAACAGG